AGAGUUUGAUCAUGGCUCAGAACGAACGCUGGUGGCGUGCUUAACACAUGCAAGUCGAACGAGAAAGUUUCCUUCGGGAAAUUAGUAAAGUGGCGCAAGGGUGAGUAUCACGUGAAUAAUCUGCCCUCGAGAUCGGGAUAACAUGGUGAAAACUAUGCUAAUACCGGGUAAGACCACAUUUCAUAAGAAAUGCGGUAAAAGGAGUCUCAAUCUUCACUUGAGGAUGAGUUCACGCAACAUUAGCUUGUUGGUGAGAUAAAAGCUCACCAAGGCUACGAUGUUUAGCCGGCCUGAGAGGGUGAACGGCCACACUGGAACUGAGACACGGUCCAGACUCCUACGGGAGGCAGCAGUGGGGAAUAUUGCGCAAUGGGCGAAAGCCUGACGCAGCAACGCCGUGUGAGCGAUGAAGGCUUUAGGGUAGUAAAGCUCUGUCAAAUGGGAAGAA
This 448-nucleotide ribosomal RNA is filed under the name uncultured bacterium. Its description in RNAcentral is "bacterial SSU rRNA". It matches the Rfam family "Bacterial small subunit ribosomal RNA", at positions 8 to 449 of the family's 1533-position model. The record is from RNAcentral.